This 1378-nucleotide long non-coding RNA is filed under the name Bemisia tabaci. Its description in RNAcentral is "lncRNA ENSSWEETPG002987". Lineage: Eukaryota; Metazoa; Arthropoda; Insecta; Hemiptera; Aleyrodidae. The record is from RNAcentral.
CUAUGCCCCCCCCCCCCCUCCACCACCACCCCAGGAUUAUGAACUCGACCAAAAUUUAGACGAAAUAAUGCCUUAAGGAGUUACUUGCGUUUGCUUUGAAUGGCACGUCUUUGCACCAACAUAAGAGACCCCAUGAAAUAUUUGACAUUUGGACUACAUUUUGCAAUUUGGAACUACAAUUUCUAGCUCAGUUCGGAGACAACGUAUGUACCAUUAGUUUUCCUAUGCAGAUAAGCGUUUUCACGUACGAGCAAAAAUUUCAAUUCCUUAUUGUAAAAUGUGGUACAUAUCCAUCUUCAAUAACUCCCCCUGAGAAAGAUUUGAACUUCGGGGGAGGGGGCUGAGAGCAAAAAUCUAUUCGAGGGGGUUGAUGUUGUGUUGAAGGAGUGAUUCACGAAGGUGAGAGAGGGGGGUCGAAAAAUCGGAACAAGUAAUUUAAUUAGAAGCUAAAUAGCCCCCUUCCCCGAAGCUCCCUGGGCAGCGUAAGUGUGAAUGAGGGGUUAGCCACCCUCGACGUAGCCGCCAUGCUACACUCCGGUCGUCGCGUCGAGACGUCAGGUCGCGUCGAGACGUCAGGUCGCGCAUCAGUUUCGCGCGCCGGGUCUCACGCGUGGCGCGUCGCGACACGACGUCGCAUAAGUUCGAUAUUAAAUUCGGCCUUGAUCUCCAUGCUUUUUUAAUUAGUAUCAUACUUGGCGUAGAGCGCGCUACUGCACUACUUGCCGAGAAAGAAACGAUAGACGCAGGAUUGGCAAUUUCGAGUGACGCCCGCGCGCCGGAAGGACACUUUCUUCGCGAUCCACGCUCAAAUUUCGGUCUGUGCUCGUCCCUUACCCGUCCGGCAGCAUGAUCGCGGUACCAGGUUCGAUUCCCGGUUUGGUGACGUCACGCCAGCGUCUCUCGAUUUUCGCCGAAACCUGUGCGUCCGGAUAGCGCGUCCUCUCAAUUUGCGAUUGCACUUUGAAUUUCAAGUAGUCAUUUUGAACCAAAUAUGCCGAUUUUGGGAGCUCUCUUCGAUGGAACUAAAUGAAAAUGGAAUUGAUUUGGCGAGUUUGGUGAUAAAAAACUCCCCCGUAACGAACUGGGAUACCACUAUUUGGCUGAAACAUGAUCGACAACGCACAUUUUGUUUAUAUUAUGAUCAUAUUGACAGCUCAAGAUGCUGAUUUAUUCAAAGUCACAUCACUACGAAAGUCAGUAAGUAAGACCCUCAGUUAUACUUACGUAUCUUAAUCAUUAGUUCAUUUCAUUUUUCUUGCAUUUUUUAUUUGACAUAUUCUUGGAUAAAUUAUGCCGAAGGUUAUUUCCUUCCUGCAUGGAUUCUUUUUAACUCUGAAGCGAGCGCGGGGGGGGGGGGGGGGGUGGUUAUUCAAUAUAU